UACGGGGGGGGCAAGCGUUGUUCGGAAUUACUGGGCGUAAAGGGCGCGUAGGCGGCGCGGUAAGUCACUUGUGAAAUCUCUGAGCUUAACUCAGAACGGCCAAGUGAUACUGCAGUGCUAGAGUGUGGAAGGGGCAAUCGGAAUUCUUGGUGUAGCGGUGAAAUGCGUAGAUAUCAGGAGGAACACCGGUGGCGAAGGCGGGUCUCUGGGCAGUAACUGACGCUGAGGAGCGAAAGCGUGGGGAGCGAACAGG
This 253-nucleotide ribosomal RNA is filed under the name uncultured bacterium. RNAcentral describes it as "partial 16S ribosomal RNA". It matches the Rfam family "Bacterial small subunit ribosomal RNA", at positions 524 to 776 of the family's 1533-position model. The record is from RNAcentral.